UGUUAGAGCAAAACUUCUUGUAUCAUGGCA
RNAcentral lists this non-coding RNA (30 nucleotides) under Rattus norvegicus (Norway rat). The record is from RNAcentral. Lineage: Eukaryota; Metazoa; Chordata; Mammalia; Rodentia; Muridae.